Molecule: ribosomal RNA, 433 nt
Filed under: uncultured bacterium
Lineage: Bacteria
Description: partial 16S ribosomal RNA
Rfam family: Bacterial small subunit ribosomal RNA
Source: RNAcentral
AACGAACGCUGGCGGCAGGCCUAACACAUGCAAGUCGAGCGGACCCUUCGGGGUUAGCGGCGGACGGGUGAGUAACGCGUGGGAAUAUGCCCUUCUCUACGGAAUAGUCCUGGGAAACUGGGGGUAAUACCGUAUACGCCCUUUGGGGGAAAGAUUUAUCGGGGAAGGAUUAGCGCGUGUUGGAUUAGGUGGUUGGUGGGGUAAUGGCCUACCAAGCCGACGUUCCAUAGCUGGUUUGAGAGGAUGAUCAGCCACACUGGGACUGAGACACGGCCCAGACUCCUACGGGAGGCAGCAGUGGGGAAUCUUAGACAAGGGGGGCAACCCUGAUCUCGCCAUGCCGGGUGAGUGAUGAAGGCCUUAGGGUUGUAAAGCUCUUUCAGCUGGGAAGAUAAUGACGGUACCAGCAGAAGAAGCCCCGGCUAACUCCGUG